ACAACCACUUCUCCCCAUUCUCCUUCUCAUUUUCGGGCACCAUUCUUCUCUCUCUAUCACUUUCUCCAUCUCUCUCUAUAUUCACACAUAUGCACACACAUAUAUGUCAUAUAUCAUUCAAGCUUUGAUUUGGAGAGUUUAAGGUGGGAUUUUAAGCAUGAGCAAGUAGGGAAGUUAGAGAGCUUGGAGAGGGCUUCCAUUUGGCACCCAUAUUGCUAUGGUUUAGAGAAUUUCAAAAUUUGGGGCUUGCUAAGGCCUUGUUUGGCUUGCUCCAUUGAGGUUAAAGUGCAAAAAGGAAGCAAAAAUGAUGCCUUGUGGAAUUUUGAACAAAAAGGGUGCCAAUUCUGAAAUUCUGGCAACAGUAGAACCUGACUUUUGUCGCCAUUUUCGACCUAGCAAACUCAAGAACUGGACUUCCAUCAUAACAUAAAAGAUUUAGAGCUCUGAAUUAGCUUUCUAAAUCUUCAAACGGUUCAUCAUUCGAAGCUCGGAGCAGAGAGUUAUGGCCUUGUUACCAGAGGUGCGCAGAACUGCUUGGCAGCACUGAAGUACUGUCUUUCUCCCCAUUUUCGACUAACCAGACUUGAGAAUUGGGUCUUCAUCAAAACAUGAAGUUUUUAAAGCUCUGAAUCAGCUCUCCAAAUCUUCAAACAGAUCAUCAUUCGGAGUUCGGAGCACAAAGUUAUGGUUAUUCUUCCACAGUGGGUCGGAGAUGGGUAAGAAUUGCAUGUUCCUCAUUACACUAAUUUAGAGUGCUCGAGACCACCCUUCGAGUGCUCGAAAUUCAGGCAGAUUGCACUCGAAAAUGGCUCAAUUUCAGCCACUUGCACAUUGGUUUCCUCAAUGCCAUCUUCCUUCUUUAUGAAGUGGUUGGAGGUGUUCCUUGGAGGAGAGAGAGCCUUGACUUGAGCUUGAUAAGAGAAAGGGAGGACCACAUAAAAUCAUUAUCCUAUAUUCUAGCAAGAUAGAGGAGAGAGAAGAGAGCAAGGAAGAGGGUGUUCUUGAGUGUUACAGUAGGUGCACGAAAAUGGAGUCUUGGAUGGAGCUUCUUCCUUCUUCUAGCUUAGCAAUGGGUAACUAACUCUUUCUCUAGGGAGGUGAUGAAGUCCCUCCCUUGUAAGCAUGUCCUAGGAUAGUCUAUUUUGGGGAUUUGCCAUGUAUAUUUUAUGGUCUUUUCAUAACCAAGAGCACCUCAUUUGUUGUAAUGAAUGUUGAUAUAUGUAUGGAUGAUUUCUUUAA
Cornus florida is the source of this 1239-nucleotide long non-coding RNA. RefSeq lists it as uncharacterized. Lineage: Eukaryota; Viridiplantae; Streptophyta; Magnoliopsida; Cornales; Cornaceae. The transcript has 2 exons. The record is from RefSeq and is a predicted model, not a curated record.